GUGCUCGCUUUGGCAGCACAUACACUAAAAUUGGAAUGAUACAGAGAAGAUUAGCAUGGCUCUUGCACGCCAGAUGACAGUAAAUUUGUGAAGCAUUCCAUAAAUUU
Molecule: small nuclear RNA, 107 nt
Filed under: Macaca nemestrina (pig-tailed macaque)
Lineage: Eukaryota; Metazoa; Chordata; Mammalia; Primates; Cercopithecidae
Source: RNAcentral